RNAcentral lists this ribosomal RNA (654 nucleotides) under uncultured bacterium. RNAcentral describes it as "bacterial SSU rRNA". It matches the Rfam family "Bacterial small subunit ribosomal RNA", at positions 60 to 705 of the family's 1533-position model. The record is from RNAcentral.
AGUCGAGCGGUAGCACAGGGAGCUUGCUCCUGGGUGACGAGCGGCGGACGGGUGAGUAAUGUCUGGGAAACUGCCUGAUGGAGGGGGAUAACUACUGGAAACGGUAGCUAAUACCGCAUAACGUCUACGGACCAAAGUGGGGGACCUUCGGGCCUCAUGCCAUCAGAUGUGCCCAGAUGGGAUUAGCUAGUAGGUGGGGUAAUGGCUCACCUAGGCGACGAUCCCUAGCUGGUCUGAGAGGAUGACCAGCCACACUGGAACUGAGACACGGUCCAGACUCCUACGGGAGGCAGCAGUGGGGAAUAUUGCACAAUGGGCGCAAGCCUGAUGCAGCCAUGCCGCGUGUGUGAAGAAGGCCUUCGGGUUGUAAAGCACUUUCAGCGAGGAGGAAGGGUNCNGUGUUAAUAGCACNGUNCAUUGACGUUACUCGCAGAAGAAGCACCGGCUAACUCCGUGCCAGCAGCCGCGGUAAUACGGAGGGUGCAAGCGUUAAUCGGAAUUACUGGGCGUAAAGCGCACGCAGGCGGUUUGUUAAGUCAGAUGUGAAAUCCCCGCGCUUAACGUGGGAACUGCAUUUGAAACUGGCAAGCUAGAGUCUUGUAGAGGGGGGUAGAAUUCCAGGUGUAGCGGUGAAAUGCGUAGAGAUCUGGAGGA